Molecule: non-coding RNA, 903 nt
Organism: Paramuricea clavata
Lineage: Eukaryota; Metazoa; Cnidaria; Anthozoa; Malacalcyonacea; Plexauridae
Source: the annotation of a GenBank genome assembly
GGUUGAUCUGGAAUGUUUUUUUAUUAUUAUUUAAACAAUAUAUAGUCUUUACAUUUGUUUCAAAAACAGCUAGAGCUUAUGCUUAUCAAGGAAACUUAUGUAAUUUAAUUAAUAUACAAGAUUUUGUUAAAAAGAAAUGAAAAACACACACACAGGCAUGCACAUACAUAAACGGAAUACAGUUUUAGUUUCAGCAAUAUACGUUUGAACUAUUGUAAACAAAUUACUAUUUUACAAUAGGAUUUACUUGGAAUACCAUUCAACAUCCAGUUAAAUUUAGUUCGAUUGGAUGCAUUCAACCAAGUAUUUCCUAUUAACCGAGCGGCAGAGGUAAGCAAAAUGCUACGAGGAGCAGUGUAACGGUCGCAAUGUAGAAACAAGUGUUUGACUGUUUCAUCUGAUAUUCAACAAGCACACAUUGGCAAGGGGGGAACACAAUUCGUGCGAUAUAGGUUGUAAUCUGACGCACUGUUGCCUAUACAACCUUAAUCUUGUAUGGAGUACAGCUAUAUAACGAUCACCAAAAUAAUAUAGGCGAUUACGAACAGGAUACUUGUUCCAUUUAAUUAAUCUUUUCUUAAACAUAGCAAGAUUUUGACAGUUUCGAACUUCUACAGGCAGUAAUUUCCAUAAUCUAAUCGCAGAGGGUAGAAAUGACUUUUUGUGCCGUUCAGUACGCGAGGGAGGUAUACUAAGGUUCAGGGGCGGAUCUAGGGGUGGUCAAACCAGUCACGCGACUAACGUAAAAAUUGCAAACUUAAUUAAAGUCUUAAAUAUUCGACCAAUAGUCCAGUUAUUCAACUAAUUUUUUAUCAUGCAGCGACACCUUAUAAUAGUCCAGUAACUAUUAUCAUGCAGCGCUAGCAAUUUACAUUCCAAGUGAUCAAAUUUCAUUCCAGUGAU